This 495-nucleotide ribosomal RNA is filed under the name uncultured bacterium. Its description in RNAcentral is "partial 16S ribosomal RNA". It matches the Rfam family "Bacterial small subunit ribosomal RNA", at positions 28 to 507 of the family's 1533-position model. The record is from RNAcentral.
GACGAACGCUGGCGGCGUGCCUAAUACAUGCAAGUAGAACGCUGAAGGAGGAGCUUGCUUCUCUGGAUGAGUUGCGAACGGGUGAGUAACGCGUAGGUAACCUGCCUGGUAGCGGGGGAUAACUAUUGGAAACGAUAGCUAAUACCGCAUAAGAGUAGAUGUUGCAUAACAUUUGCUUAAAAGGUGCAAUUGCAUCACUACCAGAUGGACCUGCGUUGUAUUAGCUAGUUGGUGGGGUAACGGCUUACCAAGGCGACGAUACAUAGCCGACCUGAGAGGGUGAUCGGCCACACUGGGACUGAGACACGGCCCAGACUCCUACGGGAGGCAGCAGUAGGGAAUCUUCGGCAAUGGACGGAAGUCUGACCGAGCAACGCCGCGUGAGUGAAGAAGGUUUUCGGAUCGUAAAGCUCUGUUGUAAGAGAAGAACGAGUGUGAGAGUGGAAAGUUCACACUGUGACGGUAUCUUACCAGAAAGGGACGGCUAACUACGUG